Molecule: long non-coding RNA, 2179 nt
Organism: Lotus japonicus
Lineage: Eukaryota; Viridiplantae; Streptophyta; Magnoliopsida; Fabales; Fabaceae
Exons: 9
Source: RefSeq, a predicted model, not a curated record
UUCUCGUCUCCCUCUUGUUAUGUUCCUUGCAAGAUUCUAGAACAAUCAAAAUUAUAGCAGUGAUUGGUAUCUCUACAUGUACAAUCUAUGAAGUUGCAAUCAGUUAAAAGAAUAAUUGUCAAAAUUGCAAUAAGGAAAACAAAAUUGAAUCACGUAAUUGGGGUUUCACCCUCCAAUGUUUUUAUGUACUUUGUUAUUUAUUCAAUUCAGUGAAUUCUCUGUAUUCUCUCUUCAUUUUGACUCCUGAAACAGUCUUAAGCCUGUUCCUUGCAAGAUAUAAAUAAAUUUCAUGAAAUUUAUCAACUAAUCACAUCUUUGUGGAAGGUACAGCCAAGGUAUACUAGCAUAUUAAGUAAUUAGAAGCAAUAACUAAGGAAGCUCCUACAAGAACUGGUUCAGAUUGCAAAGUCAGGAGUUAAUAGAAGCACUCCUAUAUGGUCUUUUUAUUACUGAUAAUCAAACAGAUGACAAAGGAAUUUGCAGUGCUUAAUUGGAGAAUGCUUGUACUGUGCUGGGUCUAAAUCUAUUGGUUUGAUCUAAAUAUCUCAUGGUUUUGGAUUAUGAUAUUUAAGAUAGUGUCAUAGGAAUUAAUGGAGCCUAUAGUGUGUGUGUGUGCUGCUUGCUUCAAUUGGUACCUCUGAUACUUUACAGUCUAUGGGAUUGUCAUUGGGGUCUUUCUAUCAAUACUUUUAGCUCUUGUACUAGUGUGCUUUGUUUCUUUCUGUCUUUUUUGUUUAUUUCCAUUCUGUUUAUUUCCACUUUGUUGUACCGAAUUUUUAGCUCACUUUGGAAGAGCAUGUUUCCAAAGAUUUUGACAACUAUCAAAACUCCUUGCAAGAUAGUGUGUAGGUUUUUUUUAUUUCAGUUCCUCACUCACUCAAUACUCAUUGUUCUUCUUCAAAUAGGAAGUAGCAGCAGGUUGGAUCAAUAUGCGGUCUUGGGAUUUAGCUUUUAUUUGGGAUGUCUUUGAGCAAUUUAAGUUACUGUUUUUCUCCUUGGAUGGCUCUUGAUCACUACAGAUUUGCCUCAGAGUACUAUAAGGGAUUUGUUCUAACUAGAAGCUUUGUUUUGUAGUAGUAUCUUGGAUAGUUAAGGCUAGCAGAUUCAGAAAUAGGUGUUUAUUUUGCUGCAUUCUGUUGCUUUUGUAUCUGUUCUGGUUCAUUUGGACCUUUCUUUUAUUUUCUCUUCUUGUAUGGUCAAAUUUUUUCUUCAUUCCAGUGGAAGCAGAUGAACAAAUGUUAGUGCGGAUGAACACGGAAAAGAAUGACCAAAGAUUAUGGUCAAAUUUUUUCUUCAUUCCAGUGGAAGCAUCGCGGCAAGGUUUCAAUAUGACCAGUAGUUGCUGCUUUUCGGAGAAUACCUAAAUCUUUUUGGAAUGUAAAGGAACGGAGUAGAGUCACCACAAUAGGAGGCAGAAGCAACCUCACGGGGUUAUAAAUCAGAGGUUGCAGCUUACAUGGCCGCCUCAACAAUGACUUCUGUGGUUGCAGCAGGUGAGAGGGAAAGACAUGAAACAGCAAAGGACCUACAAUCACUUCAUUCCUCACCUUAGUUCAGACUCAGUGGCAUCUUGGCAUGCAAAUCUCUUCUUUGAACCCACCAAAUUUGAAGUAAGGACAAUUGUUCACUUAUAGAGACAAUACAGUCUCAUUCAUUUGUUCUUGAAUGUGGCAGCCUCUGCUGCAGAGUACCAAGGAAAAGCUCUCACAGUUUGCCAUGUUCCAAGUGAAAAUGAUCACCAUUCAAUUCUACAGCAGCGUAACUUACUCAACAAUGGACAACGAUGGCAGAGUCCUAUGAUAAUCUUAAUGAAUCCGUGAGGAUUGCAAUGGUGGGAAAAUAUGUUGGUUUAACUGAUUCAUAUGUAUCUGUUGUAAAGUCAUCUGAGUUAUGAAUGCAGUGACUGCGGUUGAAGCUUUUUUUUGGGGAAGCCCUUACUUGGUACUCUACUAGAUGCAUAUAGAAGUGGCUUUUUGGCCAGGACUUUCCAUGAUAUUGGCCCUAGAGUAGUUUUUAUAGCUCACUUGAGAGAGUAUGUUCUCAAGAACAAUUAGUUAUCAAUAUUAUUAGUAUUUUUUUGGACAAAUUAGUGAAGUGGGUUCAGUAUUGUUAUUCUUUUGGCUGGAAUAUUUGAAUGUAGGUUCUCUUGGCUGGAAUAUGUGAGUGUUGUUGUUCUCAA